UGGCGGACGGGUGGGUAAUGUCUGGGAAACUGCCUGAUGAGGGGGAGUAACUACUGGAAACGGUAGCUAAUACCGCAUAACGUCGCAAGACCAAAGAGGGGGACCUUCGGGCCUCUUGCCAUCGGAUGUGCCCAGAUGGGAUUAGCUAGUAGGUGGGGUAACGGCUCACCUAGGCGACGAUCCCUAGCUGGUCUGAGAGGAUGACCAGCCACACUGGAACUGAGACACGGUCCAG
Molecule: ribosomal RNA, 235 nt
Filed under: uncultured bacterium
Lineage: Bacteria
Description: partial 16S ribosomal RNA
Rfam family: Bacterial small subunit ribosomal RNA
Source: RNAcentral